Molecule: long non-coding RNA, 1386 nt
Filed under: Heterocephalus glaber (naked mole-rat)
Lineage: Eukaryota; Metazoa; Chordata; Mammalia; Rodentia; Bathyergidae
Description: lncRNA (ENSHGLG00000038658.1)
Source: RNAcentral
AUUUCUCAAAAAUGGAAAGGGACUGGAAUGCUAACCCUAGUGCAGCGGCCAGCAAAUGCCCGUCACAUCUCGGUCAGUCUUUCGAGCGUGGAGCGACCCUGAGAAUCGCAGUCGGUUUCCGCGGAGAAGAGCUACUGGUUACCGCACUUCCAAGUACGUGAGCAAGGUCGGACUCUAUUAGGAUGGAAAGGGCAAGGGCAGCUGGGGAAGAGGUCUGCUCGCAGGGCCGGGUUGCGGCGCUCCCGACUCCGGGCCUCUGGUCCCGCCAGGGGGCUGCACUGAAGCUGGGCCUCGGCCACGAAGGCGAAGCCGGAGACGGCCGUGUCCCUCCGCUCAGGGCCUCGGGACCGGCCCCGGGCAGCACCGGCGGGAAAGGCCGCCGGGAAGUGCUGCAGCCCCACCCUCCGUCCAGGCGGACCCAGGCCGCGGCGGAUGGGGCGACGAGAGAGGUCCCGCAGGGCAGCGGCAGGCGCGGUUCCGGGCUUCCGGCCUGGGGGCUUCCGGCCUCCGCGAUUCCGGCCUCCGGGCGUCGUCGCUCCGCAGAGGGCGCCCUAAGGUCACCGGCAGGGCCAGGCGUGGCCGGGCCGCUUCUGCGGAGCCAACCCGGCUCAGCCUCCCGCUGCUGGAUCCGAGUCCGGGCCCGCCCUUCCUCCGCAAGCCUUCCUGGCCAUGUCAGCCUCACGGGCCAAAAACCGGAUACUGGAACGAAAGACAAGACUUAAGAGAGGAUGAGAAAGAUAAAUUCUGAACAACAAAACCAAGCAAGGAGCCAGGCAAGAACAGCGACUGCGAUGGGCCAAGCUUCUGAAAUAAAGAACAAACUUACCAGCUGGAGUUUGAAGAACUGAAUUGCACUGAAGUGUGGGAGAUUGGCAGGUCGGUCGGUCGGCAGGAUGCCUGGGAAUGCUAGAAUUCCUGUAGUGACCAGGACACACCCAAGAGAGACACCCAGCUGUAAUCAGAGGCCAGCAAGGGUGCAUCCCUGGAGUGAGGCUUGAACCAGUGCUGGAUCAAACCCAGGACCAGGCACAUAUCUGGCAAACAACACAGGACGUCAGUACUUUAGUCUGAGGUUGGAAAAGAGCUCCAGCAACUGAGAUGUACAUCAGCAGCAGACAGCUGGCACUGACGCCAUGGAAUGGGGUGAGAUCAUUAAGAGCAAACACAGAGAAGACCAGUGGCUCGAGGUGGAGCCUUCUACCAUUGUCAUGGAGGAGACUGAGGAGAAGUGGCCAGCAGGGCAGGAGGGGACCAAGAUGGAGCAUGUCCUGGAAGCCACUGCGUAAAAUGCUGCUCAUAGGUCAGGGAGGUAAGGACUGAAAGUACUGGAUUUGGUAAAGCAGAGGUCACUCGUGUCCUUGGUAAGAGAUCCAUCUGAUAGGCAGG